GACAGAGGAUGCAAGCGUUAUCCGGAAUGAUUGGGCGUAAAGCGUCUGUAGGUGGCUUUUCAAGUCCGCCGUCAAAUCCCAGGGCUCAACCCUGGACAGGCGGUGAAAACUACCAAGCUGGAGUACGGUAGGGGCAGAGGGAAUUUCCGGUGGAGCGGUGAAAUGCAUUGAGAUCGGAAGGAACACCAGUGGCGAAAGCGGCUUCCUGGUCCGACACCGACGUUCAGGCACGAAAGCGUGGGGAGCAAACAGG
This 253-nucleotide ribosomal RNA is filed under the name uncultured bacterium. Its description in RNAcentral is "partial 16S ribosomal RNA". It matches the Rfam family "Bacterial small subunit ribosomal RNA", at positions 524 to 776 of the family's 1533-position model. The record is from RNAcentral.